This is a small nucleolar RNA of Lytechinus pictus (painted urchin), 74 nucleotides long. RefSeq annotates it as small nucleolar RNA SNORD24. The record is from RefSeq and is a predicted model, not a curated record. The transcript has a single exon. NCBI's taxonomy places the organism in Eukaryota, Metazoa, Echinodermata, Echinoidea, Temnopleuroida, Toxopneustidae.
UACCAAUGAUGACAUUAUUUGCUACUCUUGACUUUCAGAGUGACGACAUACAAAUCACCAAGAUCGCUGAGAUA